UGGGGAAUCUUGCGCAAUGGACGAAAGUCUGACGCAGCGAUGCCGCGUGCGGGAUGAAGGCCCUCGGGUUGUAAACCGCUUUCAGCAGGGACGAAAUUGACGGUACCUGCAGAAGAAGCCCCGGCCAACUACGUGCCAGCAGCCGCGGUAAUACGUAGGGGGCGAGCGUUGUCCGGAUUUAUUGGGCGUAAAGAGCUCGUAGGCGGUUCGAUAAGUCGGAUGUGAAAUCUCCACGCUCAACGUGGAGGGGCCAUUCGAUACUGUCGUGACUCGAGUCCGGGAGGGGAGUGUGGAAUUCCCGGUGUAGCGGUGAAAUGCGCAGAGAUCGGGAGGAACACCCGUAGCGAAGGCGGCACUCUGGGCCGGUACUGACGCUGAGGAGCGAAAGCGUGGGGAGCAAACA
RNAcentral lists this ribosomal RNA (403 nucleotides) under uncultured prokaryote. Its description in RNAcentral is "bacterial SSU rRNA". It matches the Rfam family "Bacterial small subunit ribosomal RNA", at positions 355 to 774 of the family's 1533-position model. The record is from RNAcentral.